UACGUAGGGUGCAAGCGUUGUCCGGAAUUAUUGGGCGUAAAGAGCUCGUAGGCGGUUCGUCACGUCGGCUGUGAAAUCCCGAGGCUCAACCUCGGGUCUGCAGUCGAUACGGGCGGACUGGAGUACUGCAGGGGAGACUGGAAUUCCUGGUGUAGCGGUGAAAUGCGCAGAUAUCAGGAGGAACACCGGUGGCGAAGGCGGGUCUCUGGGCCGAUACUGACGCUGAGGAGCGAAAGCGUGGGGAGCAAACAGG
Molecule: ribosomal RNA, 253 nt
Filed under: uncultured bacterium
Lineage: Bacteria
Description: partial 16S ribosomal RNA
Rfam family: Bacterial small subunit ribosomal RNA
Source: RNAcentral